CGUAGGGUGCGAGCGUUAAUCGGGAAUUACUGGGCGUAAAGUGUGCGCAGGCGGCAGAGCAAGUCGAGUGUGAAAGCCCCGGGCUUAACUUGGGAAUUGCGCUCGAAACUACUUUGCUGGAGUGUGGCAGAGGAAGGUGGAAUUCCACGUGUAGCGGUGAAAUGCGUAGAGAUGUGGAGGAACACCAAUGGCGAAGGCAGCCUUCUGGGCCAACACUGACGCUCAUGCACGAAAGCGUGGGGAGCAAACAGGAUUAGAUACCCUGGUAGUCCGCGCCCUAAACGAUGACGACUAGUUGUUGGAGGAGUUAAAUCCUUUAGUAACGCAGCUAACGCGCGAAGUCGUCCGCCUGGGGAGUACGGUCGCAAGAUUA
RNAcentral lists this ribosomal RNA (373 nucleotides) under uncultured organism. Its description in RNAcentral is "bacterial SSU rRNA". It matches the Rfam family "Bacterial small subunit ribosomal RNA", at positions 526 to 896 of the family's 1533-position model. The record is from RNAcentral.